GGUGGCUCAGUGGUAGAGUGCUUGCCUGGCAUGCAAGAGGCCCUGGGUUCGAUUCCUCAGCACCA
This 65-nucleotide transfer RNA is filed under the name Dipodomys ordii (Ord's kangaroo rat). It matches the Rfam family "tRNA". Rfam says of the family: Transfer RNA (tRNA) molecules are approximately 80 nucleotides in length. The record is from Rfam by way of RNAcentral. Lineage: Eukaryota; Metazoa; Chordata; Mammalia; Rodentia; Heteromyidae.